Molecule: ribosomal RNA, 785 nt
Filed under: uncultured bacterium
Lineage: Bacteria
Description: bacterial SSU rRNA
Rfam family: Bacterial small subunit ribosomal RNA
Source: RNAcentral
UCGGGGACUUGAGAGCGGCGUACGGGUGCGUACACGUGUGCAACCUGCCUCUAUCUGGGGGAUAGCCUCCCGAAAGGAAGAUUAAUACCCCAUAAUAUAAUGAUUGGCAUCAAUUAUUAUUGAAAACUCCGGUGGAUAGAGAUGGGCACGCGCAAGAUUAGAUAGUUGGUGGGGUAACGGCCCACCAAGUCGAUGAUCUUUAGGGGUCCUGAGAGGGAGAUCCCCCACACUGGUACUGAGACACGGACCAGACUCCUACGGGAGGCAGCAGUGAGGAAUAUUGGACAAUGGGUGGAAGCCUGAUCCAGCCAUCCCGCGUGAAGGACGACGGCCCUAUGGGUUGUAAACUUCUUUUGUACAGGGAUAAACCUCCCCUCGUGAGGGGAGCUGAAGGUACUGUACGAAUAAGCACCGGCUAACUCCGUGCCAGCAGCCGCGGUAAUACGGAGGGUGCAAGCGUUAUCCGGAUUUAUUGGGUUUAAAGGGUCCGUAGGCGGGCCCGUAAGUCAGUGGUGAAAUCUCGCAGCUUAACUGCGAAACUGCCAUUGAUACUGCGGGUCUUGAGUGAAUUUGAAGUGGCUGGAAUAAGUAGUGUAGCGGUGAAAUGCAUAGAUAUUACUUAGAACACCGAUUGCGAAGGCAGGUCACUAAGAUUCAACUGACGCUGAGGGACGAAAGCGUGGGGAGCGAACAGGAUUAGAUACCCUGGUAGUCCACGCCGUANACGAUGCUAACUCGUUUUCGGGCCGCAAGGCUCGGAGACCAAGCGAAAGUGAUAAGUUAGC